AGGCAUUAUACCAGGCAGCGGAGCCAGCCAGUCCCCCCAGAUGGUGGAGGGAGGUGGUGGAGGUGUCUGGGACCAGAAAAUAGUGAGGACCCUCUUACUGAAGUGAGGACGGGUGGCAUAAACUGAGGCCCAGAUGGUGGACCAGAUCUCCUGAGCCAUCUACUCAUUUCUUCGUGUGUUCCAGUUUGGAUUCAAACUCUCUUUAGCAUAUUGGAAAGCAGAAUCCAUGUUCUACUGAUGCAAUUCCCCUUGACCAUCAUGAAAGAAUUGGACUGAAAGCAGGACAUUUCUGAAGUCUCUGGAGGAUACGUAACAUGACUGUUGGAGGGAAUGCACAUAGGAAGAGGUAGUGAAUUAUGUGUCAAGUGCCCCAACAAAAGGCUGUCAGUGUUUGUCUCUGACACAUUGUUGGGGAGAAAGGUGG
This 424-nucleotide long non-coding RNA is filed under the name Homo sapiens (human). RNAcentral's name for it is "non-protein coding lnc-VPREB1-7:12". Lineage: Eukaryota; Metazoa; Chordata; Mammalia; Primates; Hominidae. The record is from RNAcentral.